This 305-nucleotide unclassified non-coding RNA is filed under the name soil metagenome. RNAcentral describes it as "partial contains small subunit ribosomal RNA, internal transcribed spacer 1, and 5.8S ribosomal RNA". The record is from RNAcentral.
UUUCCGUAGGUGAACCUGCGGAAGGAUCAUUUCCGAACAAAACUCUUACAAACCAAUUUUGUGGAAUGUUUUGGGUUCUUUUUACUCUAGGAGGUGGGGUUUAGUUGCUGUAAUAGUGACAACAGUAAGUGCCAGUGGGUAUACUGCUAUUGCCCUCCUAUUACACUGCAAUGCUCGACACCCUGCACUUUUAUCCUAGAGGCCAUGAUGAACUACCUUCGGGUUGAUAGUUUCGUUCUUUACACUUUUUGUGAAAACAAAAUAAAAUGAAACGACAACUUUUAACGGUGGAUCUCUUGGCUCGU